UCCACCCAAAAAAAAUACUUGCCAGUAUUUUGAAGGAGAGGAAUUUGAAAUGGAAAUGGCUCCUUUCAGAUGUCAUGUUAAUGGAUGUUCAAAAACUUUUCCUUUAAGAAAAUGCUUGUUGCGGCAUGUACAAAUGUGCCAUGGAGCAAAUUCAGUGUCGGCUUCACCACAAUUUCAACAUGUACAAAGUAGGCCGGUUGUACACACAAUUCCACUUGUGCAGCCUUCUAUGGCUUUCAAACGGCCUACUUUGAAUGCUGAGGUGGUGAAACCGAGUAAAACUGUUUGCCUCCAACAAUCUUUAAGCUCUGUUGCAACAAAUGUUCAAAACUCCAGUGGAUUUCCAAGUGACGCUCACUAUAGAGCAAACUUGGCCCACUUGGAGAAGUUUGGCGUAGAUCGCCCAUAUUCAAGAAACCCAACUCUACUAUGUGACUGUCCAGAUAUGCGCCCAGCCGUUUUGAAUAUUGUUACGCACCAAGCAAGCCACAUCCUGAACCGCGGUGCCAAUUAUUUUUGGUGUAGCCGAAAAGCAAUUAAAAAGGUGGGCGAAAAAGUAUCAGAUCUUUCCCCACAACUGCUGGCUGAAUACAAGAAGAAAUGUAAUUUUUUCGUUUUCGAAGAAGACCCAAAAAAACAAAACAAUUAAAGUAGAAUAAUUUUUUAUGUGAUUUAACUUUUUUGUUUGUUUUUGUUUGUUCAUCACAUUAUAAUUCACCAAUUCUUUGUUUAGUUUUGUCGUUGUCCUCUCUACACCGUAAACGUGUAGGAAAUAUAUGAUUUUCUGAACGUGA
Daphnia magna is the source of this 794-nucleotide long non-coding RNA. RefSeq lists it as uncharacterized. Lineage: Eukaryota; Metazoa; Arthropoda; Branchiopoda; Diplostraca; Daphniidae. The record is from RefSeq and is a predicted model, not a curated record. The transcript has 2 exons.